CGCUGUCACAGUCGCCUUGCCCUGCCUUGCCUCUCUGCCUACUCUGCGUUCCCCGCUGGGAGGAGGGUCUGGUGAUAAAAUAGCGGCGAGACUGUAGAAAUGAUGUUAGACAAAAAACAAAUUCGAGCAAUUUUCUUAUUCGAGUUCAAAAUGGGUUGUAAAGCCGCGGAGACAUCUCGCAGCAUCAACAACGCAUCUGGCCCAGGAACUGCUAACGAACACACAGUAGUGCAGUGGUGGUUCAAGAAGUUUCGCAAAGGAGAGGAGAGCCUUGAACAUAAGUAGCAUAGUGGCUGGCCAUCAAAAGUUGACAAUGACCAAUUGAGAGCAAUCAUUGAAGCUGAUCCUCUUAUAACUACACAAGAAGUUGCCGAAGAACUCAGCAUUGACCAUUCUACAGUCGUUUGGCAUAUGAAGCAAAUUGGAAAGGUGAAAAAGCUUGGUAAGUGAGUGCCUCGUGAACUAAGCAAAAAUCAAAAAAAUCGUGGUUGUGAAGAGUCAUCUUCUCUUAUUCUACAUAACAACAGUGAACCAUUUCUCAAUUGGAUUGUGAUGUGCCACUAAAAGUGGAUUUCAUACGACAGCCAGUGACAGCCAGCUCAGUGGUUGGACCAGGAAGCUCCAAAGCAUUUCCCAAAGCCAGACUUGCACCAGAAAAAGGUCAUGGGCACUGUUUGGUGGUCUGCUGCUGUUCUGAUCCCCUACAGCUUUCUGAAUCCUGGUGAAACCCUUACAUCUGAGAAGUAUGCUCAGCAAAUCAAUGAGAUGCACCAAAGACUGCAAUGCCUGCAGCUGGCAUUGGUCAACAGAAAAAGCCCAAUUCUCCACGACAGUGCCCGACCACACACUGCACAACCAGCACUUGGGAAGUUGAAUGAAUUGGGCUACAAAGUUUUGCCUCAUCCUCCAUAUUCACCUCACCUCUCUCCGAACGACUACCACCUUCUUCAAGCAUCUUGACAACUUUUUGCAGGAAAAACGCUUCCACAGUCAGCAGGAUGCAGAACAUGCUUUCCAAGAGUUGGUUGAAUCCCGAAGCAUGGAUUUUUAUGCUACAGGAAUAAACAAACUUAUUUCUCAUUGGCAAAAAUGUAUUGAUUGUAAUGGUUCCUAUUUUGAUUAGUAAGAUGCGUUUGAGCCUAGUUACAAUGAUUUAAAAUUCACAGUCCAAAACCACAAUUACUCUUGCACCAAGCUAAUACCACACAGUGCCCAGUGUAAUUUCUUGGCAUGAGAGCAUUUAUCGUUGAACUGAAUUGUUGAACCAUCAUGUUUUCCACCAGAGAGGAAACUCCUUUAGAGCAGUAGAUCAUAUGUUAUACUCCUUUGUCUCUCCUGAAGUUUAUAGUGUAGUGACAUAGAUGAUUAAUUCAAAGGAAGAUAGAUGUAUAGAUACAUGCCUUAGAACUUACUUGCUUUACAAUAGAAGUUCAGAGAAAGGAAACAUUGGGGCAGGGGAAUGUGGACAAGUCAGAGGCUUUUGAAGGAAAUGAUUUUGAGCCAGCCCUUAAGGAAUGGAUAUGAUUUUAAGCAUGUUGAGAGGGACGAUGUCUUGAGAAAAAGUUCAUAAUGGAAAAUAGAACCUCUCCUAGAACACCAGUCUCAAAGUGGGUCCAUAGCCUAGGAACAAUUGGAAUAUUUCAUGAAUAUCUCUAGGGCUACUUCGAAAUCAAAGGAAAUAAAGUGUUCCAGUUGUUUCUGAGUCUUCGGGCUGGAGAAGAGGUGGUGGUAAAGAUGGGUGUUUACUAAUUUGCCAACUAAAACUUUAGACACUGGGUAGAAGGUGCAAAUAUUAGGUUGGUGCAGAAGUAACUGCAGUUUUUGCCAUAUUUUAAUGACAAAACUGCAGUUACUUUUGCACCAACGUAAUACAUGUACAGCCACUACAAACUUUGGAUAAAAGGUGCUAAGUAGGAUCCCACAGUUUUCUUGGUGCUGUACCAAGCACUGCAUAACACACAGAAGCAAAGGGGGCACUGGCAGUGGCAAAAGGUAAAGAGAGCCUCUUUGAAGAACACAGCUGGGGCUCUAUUCAUUUUUUCGCUUUUUAUUUUGAAGUAAUUAUAGGAAGUUGCAAAAAUAGAACAGAGUUCUGUGUACCGUUGCUUCCCCCAGUAGUAGCAUUUGAUAUUGUUGCAUAAUAUCAAAAUUAGGAAAUUGACAUGUUGACUACAGACCUUACUGGUUUUUAUCAUAUUUUUUACCUGCAUUUAUUUGCACACGUGUGUGUAUGCAUGUAGCUCUAUGCAAAAUUCCAUACAUAAAUUUGUGUUACCAUCACUGCA
This is a long non-coding RNA of Cercocebus atys (sooty mangabey), 2285 nucleotides long. RefSeq lists it as uncharacterized. NCBI's taxonomy places the organism in Eukaryota, Metazoa, Chordata, Mammalia, Primates, Cercopithecidae. The transcript is spliced from 2 exons. The record is from RefSeq and is a predicted model, not a curated record.